This 124-nucleotide ribosomal RNA is filed under the name Staphylococcus epidermidis. RNAcentral's name for it is "partial 23S ribosomal RNA". It matches the Rfam family "Bacterial large subunit ribosomal RNA", at positions 2802 to 2925 of the family's 2925-position model. Lineage: Bacteria; Bacillati; Bacillota; Bacilli; Caryophanales; Staphylococcaceae. The record is from RNAcentral.
AGAUGAGAUUUCCCAACUUCGGUUAUAAGAUCCCUCGAAGAUGACGAGGUUAAUAGGUUCGAGGUGGAAGCGUGGUGACACGUGGAGCUGACGAAUACUAAUCGAUCGAAGACUUAAUCAAUUU